GGAAUAGAGCGGAUAAUGGCAAAUUUCUAAUGGCAAAAAGCAUAAGGUAAGCGUGUGAUCCAUUGGUGUGAGUGGAGGUCGCUAUGCGAAUUAAAUGAAAAUUGGGGCUUUGGUUUCCAUUGUUUAACAAAAUUCAAUUUAACCUUAAUAGUUAAGCAUGGGUGGAGGUUAAUAAACAAUCCAAAUUUGUUGUUAACUCUAACAUUAAAAGUUAAGUACUAUUCGAUUUUAGAUUUUCUGAGUGUUGGAUUAGGGAAUAUACCUUCCUAUACAUAGAAGAGUGUAAGGGCUACUAAGGGCCUCUUACAAGCUAGGCUUUGCUGGCAGGCCUGGACAGAAAAGGUAAUCCCAAUGGAGGAGGCUGCAUGAGUGCUAGGAGCUGUGAGGUUUAAGAUAUAGCAGGGAGUAAGUGAUCUGAAGAUCAGGUUGGUUGUAGAUUUAAUUGAUGUUGAUAAUAGGAAAAGGAAAGAAGAUACAAUUAAAUAUACCUUCUGCGACAGUGAUGUAAGAUGAAUUUUGUGUAUUCCGUUGGCAAGAUUCCCACAUGAUGAUUACAUAGUGUGGCGAGUGGAGGCAUCCAGGGAGUAUUUGUUGAGGGGCGGAUAUAAACUUAUAUUACAAGGUAUUCUUGAUCUCGUGCUAAAUUAUAAUCAAAAUGAAAAUGUAGAAUUUUACAGAAACUUCGGGGCCUAGAUCUACCCUCUAAUAUUAAAAUUACAGUUUGAAGAACUGGUGUGAAUUUCCUACCUAUCCUAGCUAAUUUACAAUACAAAACAUUAGUUGCAGAAGCAAUUUUCCCAAGAUAUAAAACGAAAUUGGAAACUAGGGAACAUGUUUUUUAGGACUGUCUUGUAACAAAGGAGAUCUGGGAUAAAUUACAGUUUGUAUGGUCACAGGAACUGUUAAAUCUAAAAUAUAUGGAGUGGAUUACCUAUGUUCUGGCGUAUAAACCCAGUGAUUGGUGUUGAACCUUUGUUUGUACUUUAUGGGAAAUUUGGACCGAGAGGAAUAAAUGGCUGCGUGAUGGACAAAAAAGAUCAAGGUCAAGUAUCGCAAACUUCAUUAAAAGCUAUAUUCGAGAAUUGGAUGAGUUGGAGAAGAAGUUACCAAUCAAGAGUCGAGCCAGUGAAAGAUGGUGACCAUUGGAUUCAUCAGUUUUCAAAAUAAACUUUGAUGUUGUAUUUAAUAAUAGAGAAAGCAGGUCUUGUUUGGGAAUGGUGUUACGAGAUUCAAAUAGAGAGAUUUUGAAAUCGAAGAUAGUGAUAAAUGAGGAUAUACUUUCAAUGUUUGCGGCGGAGGCCAUUGCAUGUGUGCAAGUGGUUACACUAAGCAAUGAUUUAGGUUUAACGAUGGUGGAGAUAGAAGGGGACACACUAUUAGUGGUCAAGGAAGUCCAAAGCGAUGGGGUGAAUAGAUUAGAAAUUGGAGCCUACAUUAAGGAUGCGAAACAUUAGGUGAGGGUUUUCAAAAAUAUAGAUUCAAAUGGGUUGGGGGAGGCAAAUGGACUCAUUCUUUGGCAAAUGAAGGGUUAAAGAGGGGAGAACAAAUGUACCUGCAAAAUGAAGUACCUAACUUCGGAAUAGUAGCAACGGAGAAUGAUCGGGGUUGGGAAAGAGAUCUGGAUUUGAGGCGACAUCGAUGAGAACUAGAACGGGAAGUUUUCGUUGGAGAAGGUAUGGGGAAUGUGAAGAAUGCAAAAAGUUUUUCUCCAAAAGCUAUUGUUGAUUCAAGUCAGUUUAGAGGCUUCUAGAACCUGACAGCUCAUUGUUGGAUUAGUUUAUUUAUUUUUGUUGUAUUUUCUUUAUUUUAUUUUAUUGUGUGAUUGUUGUUUAUGCCCAACGGAUUAGAGUGGGCUUUUUUUUUUUGUUUUUUUGUUAUUAUUCAAUCCAACUUAUACUUCUCAAAAAAAAAAAAAAAGAAGAAGAA
This 1926-nucleotide long non-coding RNA is filed under the name Gossypium barbadense (sea-island cotton). Its description in RNAcentral is "long non-coding RNA (GBAR_LNC016369)". Lineage: Eukaryota; Viridiplantae; Streptophyta; Magnoliopsida; Malvales; Malvaceae. The record is from RNAcentral.